Long non-coding RNA from Eriocheir sinensis (Chinese mitten crab), 1823 nucleotides. RefSeq lists it as uncharacterized. The record is from RefSeq and is a predicted model, not a curated record. The transcript is spliced from 2 exons. NCBI's taxonomy places the organism in Eukaryota, Metazoa, Arthropoda, Malacostraca, Decapoda, Varunidae.
AGUGAAGACGCAGACGAAGAUAAAGAGACACGCAGAUAUAGAAAGGAGGAGAGAACAUAAAAACUGAAGGAGGUGAAAACGAGAAAGAUGAACUAAUACGAGUCUCUACCUGUGAAAUAGACGAAUGCAGGUGAUGGAAAGUGAAUGACAGGUGCAGUGUUAAGACGCAGACGAAGAUAAAGAGACACACGGACGUAGAAAGGAGAGAACAUAAAAACUGAAAAUGAAAACGAAAAAGAUGAACUAGUACAAGUCUCUACCUGUGAAAUAGACGAAUGCAGGUGAUGGAUGAUUAUAAUGAAUGACAGGUGCAGUGUGAAGAAGCAGACGAAGAUAUUAAAAGACACGCGGAUAUAGGAAGAAGAGAACAUGAAUACUAAAGGAAAUGAAAACGAAAAAGAUGAACUAGUACGAGUCUCUACCUGUGAUUUAACGAAUGCAGGUGAUGGAUAGUGAAUGACAGGUGCAGAAUGAAGAUGCAGAUGAAAAUAUUAAAAGACGUGAAUGUAGAAAGAAAAACGAGAAUACUAAAGAUGAUUAAAACGAAAAGGGUGAACCAGUACAUGACUAUACCACUGAUUAAAAUGAUGCAGGCAAUUGAUAAGGAAUGACCGCUGCAGAUGGAAGACAGAGACAUAGAUAAGAAAAUACUGAAUAGAGAAAAAAUAGAACAUGAAUAUUGAGCAAGACCAAAAAGACUAACCAGUUCAACCAGUCAAAUAGAUGAAUGCAAGUGGCCGAUAAGGGUUGACAGCUGAAGGAAGUGGACCCAAGGAGAAAGAAAAGUGAAAACAUGCAAAUAUAGACAGUCUUAUUUAGCAUUUGGCACGCCAUGAACACAAGGAGACAUUUGUAGUUACUGAAUGGACGAACUGAAACAAACACAGAUUACCCAUUUUAUGUUUUGAAGAAUAAGGAAAAAGUUGAUCAAUAAAGACAGCAAUGUGAGAGAGAGAGAGAGAGGAGGCAGAUAACAGACACAUGGAAACGAGAUAAGGCCAGCUGUUAUAUUUGCUUUGACGUAUUGUGUUAUUGAGGUUUGAUAAGGACGAGAAACGGGAAGAUAUGAAAAGGAGAGAUAUUAACAUGAAAACGGUCACGUAACUAUCAGAAACACGAGAAAAGGGAAAAAUUGAGAGUUUCUGUACCUAUAAUGUAUCGAUUGGGUGUUAUUAUAGAGGUUUGAUAAGGGAGAGGACCAAGAAGAGAAAAAAUUGAGAGAUAUAUACAUGAAAACAGUGUCACCUAUCAGAAACACAGAAAAAGGAGAGGUAGAGUUAGUUUCAAUAGCCUAACGUGCCAUUGGGUGUUAUUAUAGAGGUUUGGUAAGAACGUGGAACAAGAAAUAAAAAAAGGAAAGAUAUUAACAUGAAAACAGGGUCAUUUAACUAUCAGAAACAUGGGAAAGAAGAUGACUGAGUUUCUGUAGCUGUAACAUGUCAUUGAGUUAUAUAUUUAGAGGUUUGGUAAGGACGAGGAACAAGGAAAGGAAAAAAGUAUAUUAACACGAAAACAGUCACGUUACAUCAGAAACAGAAAGAACAGGAACGAUUAAGCGAGUUUCUGUAUCUGUAAAGUGUCAUUAAGUUAUAUAUUUAGAGGUUUGGUAAGGACGAGGAACAAGGAAAGGAAAAAGAAGUAUAUUAACACGAAAACAGGGUCACAUAACAUCAGAAACACACAAAAAAGGAAAUAUUAAGUGAAAAAGAAGAUAUUGGCCGAGUUUCUGUAGCUAUAACAUGUCAUUGAGUUAUAUAUUUAGAGGUUAGGUAAGGACGAGGAACAAGGAAAGGAAAAAGAAGUAUAUUAACACGAAAACAGGG